GCCGUGUUACUAUAACAAUGUACUUUUUGAAUGGUCAAGGGUUCGAUUGUUCGUUAGAAUAUCUCCUUUUGCACCAAACAAGAAAUGCACACAUUAUUUUAAAACGCACUAGUUAGGUGCAAGGAGGAUUUUUCUAAUGGAAAAUGGUACUGUAAAGUGGUUCAACGCUGAAAAAGGUUACGGUUUUAUUACUCGUCAGGACGGCAGUGACGUAUUCGUUCACUUUUCCGCUAUCCAGGGCGACGGCUACAAAACCCUUGAAGAAGGCCAAGCCGUAACUUUCGAAGUUGAAAACAGCGAUCGUGGUCCUCAGGCGGUUAACGUCAACAAGGACUAGUUCAUUGUUAAAAAGUCGUCCGGUUCGCCGGGCGGCUUUUUU
RNAcentral lists this small RNA (379 nucleotides) under Lacticaseibacillus thailandensis DSM 22698 = JCM 13996. RNAcentral's name for it is "Lactobacillus thailandensis DSM 22698 = JCM 13996 cspA thermoregulator". It matches the Rfam family "cspA thermoregulator". The record is from Rfam by way of RNAcentral. Lineage: Bacteria; Bacillati; Bacillota; Bacilli; Lactobacillales; Lactobacillaceae.